GGGCCUUUAGCUCAGUUGGUUAGAGCAGCGGACUCAUAAUCCGUUGGUCGCGGGUUCAAGUCCCGCAGGGCCUA
RNAcentral lists this transfer RNA (74 nucleotides) under Basilea psittacipulmonis DSM 24701. It matches the Rfam family "tRNA". Rfam says of the family: Transfer RNA (tRNA) molecules are approximately 80 nucleotides in length. Their secondary structure includes four short double-helical elements and three loops (D, anti-codon, and T loops). Lineage: Bacteria; Pseudomonadati; Pseudomonadota; Betaproteobacteria; Burkholderiales; Alcaligenaceae. The record is from Rfam by way of RNAcentral.